GACGAACGCUGGCGGCGUGCCUAAUACAUGCAAGUCGAGCGGAACUGGGGGAGCUUGCUCCUUCCAGUUUAGCGGCGGACGGGUGAGUAACACGUGGGCAACCUGCCCUGCAGCUCGGGAUAACUCCGGGAAACCGGUGCUAAUACCGAAUAGUUUGGCGCCUCUCCUGAGGCGCUACGGAAAGACGGUUUCGGCUGUCACUUCAGUAUGGGCCCGCGGCGCAUUAGCUAGUUGGUGGGGUAACGGCCCACCAAGGCGACGAUGCGUAGCCGACCUGAGAGGGUGACCGGCCACACUGGGACUGAGACACGGCCCAGACUCCUACGGGAGGCAGCAGUAGGGAAUCUUCCGCAAUGGACGCAAGUCUGACGGAGCAACGCCGCGUGAGUGACGAAGGUUUUCGGAUCGUAAAACUCUGUUGUGAGGGAAGAACACGUACCAACUAACUAUUGGUACCUUGACGGUACCUCACCAGAAAGCCACGGCUAACUACGUGCCAGCCGCCGCGGUAA
Molecule: ribosomal RNA, 512 nt
Filed under: uncultured bacterium
Lineage: Bacteria
Description: partial 16S ribosomal RNA
Rfam family: Bacterial small subunit ribosomal RNA
Source: RNAcentral